CUUUUAUCAUGAGAGGUGGAGGGACCGGCCCGAUGAAGCCUCGGCAACCACUAAAUAUAUUGGAAGGUGCCAAGUCCGGCAGCAAAAGCUGAAAGAUGAGAG
Molecule: non-coding RNA, 102 nt
Filed under: Candidatus Levyibacteriota
Lineage: Bacteria
Description: Candidatus Levybacteria SAM-I sequence
Rfam family: SAM riboswitch aptamer (S box leader)
About the family: The SAM riboswitch is found upstream of a number of genes which code for proteins involved in methionine or cysteine biosynthesis in Gram-positive bacteria.
Source: RNAcentral